AGCGUACACGGUGGAUGCCCUGGCAGUCAGAGGCGAUGAAGGACGUGCUAAUCUGCGAUAAGCGUCGGUAAGGUGAUAUGAACCGUUAUAACCGGCGAUUUCCGAAUGGGGAAACCCAGUGUGUUUCGACACACUAUCAUUAACUGAAUCCAUAGGUUAAUGAGGCGAACCGGGGGAACUGAAACAUCUAAGUACCCCGAGGAAAAGAAAUCAACCGAGAUUCCCCCAGUAGCGGCGAGCGAACGGGGAGCAGCCCAGAGCCUGAAUCAGUGUGUGUGUUAGUGGAAGCGUCUGGAAAGGCGCGCGAUACAGGGUGACAGCCCCGUACACAAAAAUGCACAUACUGUGAGCUCGAUGAGUAGGGCGGGACACGUGGUAUCCUGUCUGAAUAUGGGGGGACCAUCCUCCAAGGCUAAAUACUCCUGACUGACCGAUAGUGAACCAGUACCGUGAGGGAAAGGCGAAAAGAACCCCGGCGAGGGGAGUGAAAAAGAACCUGAAACCGUGUACGUACAAGCAGUGGGAGCCUCUUUUAUGGGGUGACUGCGUACCUUUUGUAUAAUGGGUCAGCGACUUAUAUUCUGUAGCAAGGUUAACCGAAUAGGGGAGCCGAAGGGAAACCGAGUCUUAACCGGGCGUUAAGUUGCAGGGUAUAGACCCGAAACCCGGUGAUCUAGCCAUGGGCAGGUUGAAGGUUGGGUAACACUAACUGGAGGACCGAACCGACUAAUGUUGAAAAAUUAGCGGAUGACUUGUGGCUGGGGGUGAAAGGCCAAUCAAACCGGGAGAUAGCUGGUUCUCCCCGAAAGCUAUUUAGGUAGCGCCUCGUGAAUUCAUCUCCGGGGGUAGAGCACUGUUUCGGCAAGGGGGUCAUCCCGACUUACCAACCCGAUGCAAACUGCGAAUACCGGAGAAUGUUAUCACGGGAGACACACGGCGGGUGCUAACGUCCGUCGUGAAGAGGGAAACAACCCAGACCGCCAGCUAAGGUCCCAAAGUCAUGGUUAAGUGGGAAACGAUGUGGGAAGGCCCAGACAGCCAGGAUGUUGGCUUAGAAGCAGCCAUCAUUUAAAGAAAGCGUAAUAGCUCACUGGUCGAGUCGGCCUGCGCGGAAGAUGUAACGGGGCUAAACCAUGCACCGAAGCUGCGGCAGCGACACUGUGUGUUGUUGGGUAGGGGAGCGUUCUGUAAGCCUGUGAAGGUGUACUGUAAGGUAUGCUGGAGGUAUCAGAAGUGCGAAUGCUGACAUAAGUAACGAUAAAGCGGGUGAAAAGCCCGCUCGCCGGAAGACCAAGGGUUCCUGUCCAACGUUAAUCGGGGCAGGGUGAGUCGACCCCUAAGGCGAGGCCGAAAGGCGUAGUCGAUGGGAAACAGGUUAAUAUUCCUGUACUUGGUGUUACUGCGAAGGGGGGACGGAGAAGGCUAUGUUGGCCGGGCGACGGUUGUCCCGGUUUAAGCGUGUAGGCUGGUUUUCCAGGCAAAUCCGGAAAAUCAAGGCUGAGGCGUGAUGACGAGGCACUACGGUGCUGAAGCAACAAAUGCCCUGCUUCCAGGAAAAGCCUCUAAGCAUCAGGUAACAUCAAAUCGUACCCCAAACCGACACAGGUGGUCAGGUAGAGAAUACCAAGGCGCUUGAGAGAACUCGGGUGAAGGAACUAGGCAAAAUGGUGCCGUAACUUCGGGAGAAGGCACGCUGAUAUGUAGGUGAAGUCCCUCGCGGAUGGAGCUGAAAUCAGUCGAAGAUACCAGCUGGCUGCAACUGUUUAUUAAAAACACAGCACUGUGCAAACACGAAAGUGGACGUAUACGGUGUGACGCCUGCCCGGUGCCGGAAGGUUAAUUGAUGGGGUCAGCGCAAGCGAAGCUCUUGAUCGAAGCCCCGGUAAACGGCGGCCGUAACUAUAACGGUCCUAAGGUAGCGAAAUUCCUUGUCGGGUAAGUUCCGACCUGCACGAAUGGCGUAAUGAUGGCCAGGCUGUCUCCACCCGAGACUCAGUGAAAUUGAACUCGCUGUGAAGAUGCAGUGUACCCGCGGCAAGACGGAAAGACCCCGUGAACCUUUACUAUAGCUUGACACUGAACAUUGAGCCUUGAUGUGUAGGAUAGGUGGGAGGCUUUGAAGUGUGGACGCCAGUCUGCAUGGAGCCGACCUUGAAAUACCACCCUUUAAUGUUUGAUGUUCUAACGUGGACCCGUGAUCCGGGUUGCGGACAGUGUCUGGUGGGUAGUUUGACUGGGGCGGUCUCCUCCUAAAGAGUAACGGAGGAGCACGAAGGUUGGCUAAUCCUGGUCGGACAUCAGGAGGUU
This 2307-nucleotide ribosomal RNA is filed under the name Escherichia coli 8624. RNAcentral describes it as "bacterial LSU rRNA". It matches the Rfam family "Bacterial large subunit ribosomal RNA", at positions 14 to 2347 of the family's 2925-position model. Lineage: Bacteria; Pseudomonadati; Pseudomonadota; Gammaproteobacteria; Enterobacterales; Enterobacteriaceae. The record is from RNAcentral.